CAUGAGCAGAACGUAUAGCCUUAUGUGGCAGGUAGGACACGCCUACUAAUCAGGAGGACUCGCUCACUGAUUGGGUGAUCACGCUUUAAAAAGCUCUCCUGCUUCGCUUUUUUAAUUAUGACCUCUUUCGGCUGCCAUACCAGGUCACCAGGAAGUGAGCGCGAGUAGCAGGCAGUUUCCUGGACACGGAUAGUCGGCCAAUCAUUCGGCGUAUCUGCAAUCUGCUCCAGUAGCCGUACGAAUAUCGCAUAGACUCGCUCCUUCUCAGCAACCGAAAGUGUUCUGCUGCACGAUCCCUUCCCUCCCCGCAAACAGGGGAGUAAAGCUGCUGCUUUGCCUUGUGUGUUUUUGUGCCUGAGCUCGAGCGCGCCCGCCCCCUUCCACGCCGCGGUAGAAGAAAGACACACGCCCGCUGCACGGAGGAUACCACAACGUGGAAGCCGUCUCGUGGGACUGGACAGUUUCUUCUCUCCCCACCA
This is a long non-coding RNA of Oryzias melastigma (Indian medaka), 479 nucleotides long. RefSeq lists it as uncharacterized. NCBI's taxonomy places the organism in Eukaryota, Metazoa, Chordata, Actinopteri, Beloniformes, Adrianichthyidae. The transcript is spliced from 3 exons. The record is from RefSeq and is a predicted model, not a curated record.